UUAACCAGUGCUUUUUAUUUACAGUGCAGGAAAAAAAAAUCUUGUAAUUAAGCAAAUGAUGAGUUCAGUGAGGUAAACAAGGGUUCAGGUAGAAAGAACCCCAGAAAUCCUCUGACCCUGUAGGACCCCUGUGUAAGAGGCCCCAGCUCAGUUCAGCCCUGUGGUCAAAGUGGGCAGUGUCCACAUGAAGUUAAAGCACAAAAGGGAGAUACACGAGCCAAAGUCAGGAGGAAGCAGGAAGGUGCGUAACAUACAGUAGGUAAAUCACAGUUCAAGGCACCAAGGAAAGAUCCGAGAGACAAAGACAAAACACUGCAGGGGUGAGAACCCAAACAGAGUGCAAGAGAGGGAACUUGGAACACAGUGAGGUAGGAACUAGAGAGGCUCAGCGUUAUCGUUAUAACAGAGCACAGAACACUGCUCGGACAGACCCUCCUGCUUCAGUUGGAGACAAGGCAGAAGGUGAUUACCCACAGGUGAAGCAGGCUUCCUGUCUGACUGUGUUUCCACAGCAACCGGCCUGACUGACAGGUGGGAGGGGCGUGGCCAGCUGCUGCAGGAGAACUGCCCUACUCUGCAGUGCCCCCGUGAGGACAGGCAUGACGGUUGAUUUUGAAGAAUCAAAAGGCAGACUGGAAUCUUCCAGCACAGCCUGUCGAACUGGGUGCAGUGUCUUUUCCACUACUGCGAGCACCACGAGCUGGUCCUGGGGCGUGGAGAUACAGUACCAGGCCGAGGAUUUUAAGAAGAAAGCAGAUAUUGAAGGGGGCCGAGCUGACAAAGCUGGAGUCUGGAUUGAUGGCUACGCUCUGUCAGGGCAGCUUCUGAGCUGGACAGACGCCCCAGGUGGCCAUUCUCACUGGGACCUGGCUGAUCGGGGACGGACCCCCAACAGAGGGACAGGUUUUUUCCCAUGC
This is a long non-coding RNA of Lepisosteus oculatus (spotted gar), 917 nucleotides long. RefSeq lists it as uncharacterized. Lineage: Eukaryota; Metazoa; Chordata; Actinopteri; Semionotiformes; Lepisosteidae. The record is from RefSeq and is a predicted model, not a curated record.